GUAAUGUCUGGGAAACUGCCUGAUGGAGGGGGAUAACUACUGGAAACGGUAGCUAAUACCGCAUGACCUCGUAAGAGCAAAGUGGGGGACCUUCGGGCCUCACGCCAUCGGAUGUGCCCAGAUGGGAUUAGCUAGUAGGUGAGGUAAUGGCUCACCUAGGCGACGAUCCCUAGCUGGUCUGAGAGGAUGACCAGCCACACUGGAACUGAGACACGGUCCAGACUCCUACGGGAGGCAGCAGUGGGGAAUAUUGCACAAUGGGCGCAAGCCUGAUGCAGCCAUGCCGCGUGUGUGAAGAAGGCCUUAGGGUUGUAAAGCACUUUCAGCGAGGAGGAAGGGUUCAGUGUUAAUAGCACUGUGCAUUGACGUUACUCGCAGAAGAAGCACCGGCUAACUCCGUGCCAGCAGCCGCGGUAAUACGGAGGGUGCAAGCGUUUAAUCGGAAUU
Molecule: ribosomal RNA, 447 nt
Filed under: uncultured Rahnella sp.
Lineage: Bacteria; Pseudomonadati; Pseudomonadota; Gammaproteobacteria; Enterobacterales; Yersiniaceae
Description: bacterial SSU rRNA
Rfam family: Bacterial small subunit ribosomal RNA
Source: RNAcentral